CUAACCUGUGUCAUCCAGAUGCCAGUUCAGUUCCUGGGCAUUCAAAAAUGAAGACGACUCCAUUCCUGCCUUCAGUUGUAAUAAGUGAAGGAGGAAUAAAGACGUCCCGUAAUUUCUCUUUCUCUUUUCAAGAAAUCUAUACUCACUUUUCUUUACCCAUCUUGGAUCCAGACAGCAAGUCUCACCCUGCCUAGUGUGGGUUUAUCAAGCAUCUAACGAGCCUGCUGGGGCAACUAUAAAAAGUGUAGUUCACUUGGAAUGUGCAAACUCACCUCCAGUGUAAAAGCCUUCAUCCCUGAAUAAAUUAUAUGGAACCUUUGCA
Microcebus murinus (gray mouse lemur) is the source of this 322-nucleotide non-coding RNA. The record is from RefSeq and is a predicted model, not a curated record. NCBI's taxonomy places the organism in Eukaryota, Metazoa, Chordata, Mammalia, Primates, Cheirogaleidae.